Peromyscus californicus insignis is the source of this 1757-nucleotide long non-coding RNA. RefSeq lists it as uncharacterized. NCBI's taxonomy places the organism in Eukaryota, Metazoa, Chordata, Mammalia, Rodentia, Cricetidae. The transcript has 3 exons. The record is from RefSeq and is a predicted model, not a curated record.
UUCAAUAAUAUUAUUCAUUUAAACUAUCAACAGCCACCUUUUCCUGUCUUUUUUACGUUUAGGAAAAACUGAGAAGCAGAAAGGUCAGUGUCCUGUUACAACGUUGGUCACUGGGAAAAUUCGGUAUGCCGAUUUAAAUAGUGUGGUUCCAGACUUCAUGAGCUUAAGUACUGUGAAAUAUAAGGAGUCCUUAAUGAGUUUAGAAGUGGAGUGCUUUGUCUCCAUCUACCCCUGAGUCCACAAAAGGUAUCGCUGAGGGAGAAAGAGCCCCAAAUAUGGCAUGGUCACACACUCUUUCUACCCUCCAUUGAAGAGCUCAGAACAUAUGACCUUUUUUUUUAAGCAGAAAUGGGUUGAGAAUAGCCACAUGCCGAAUGAGCCCUCUGCCCUUAUUUCUACCUAAAUCCAGGCAUUAAUUUCCCAUGAGAAAGAUGGCUGCCUCGAACCAGGAAGAGGACAAGAUUCUUAUGGCCAGAGGGGACAAUGGCUGCCAAGAUGAAGAUUCUGUGCAAACCAACCUUACUAAGAUAGCCCUUACUUCCCCUCCACUCCACGGGCUCACUGUUCACUUGCCCACAGUUUGCUCUUAUUGGUCCAGACUUCCUCCCCUUUCUCACUUUAGGCCCCACACCUCAGGUCCAGGGUUCACUGUCCGUUAGCUGAUCCAUGCCAGCUUCCUGCAUUGUUUGGUGUUGGGUGGUCCUAUUUUCAUCUGUCAGUUGGUGUCUGAUUCACACCACACCCUCGGCUCUUGCACAAUGGAGAAUUAAGGUUGAGAGGCUUGCUAGUGUUGCCUGUCACACAGGUAAUGGAGUCAGACUGGGACUCAACCCCCAACGUGUUUGCAAAGACCAUAGGGACAGCACAGCCCUGCACAGAAGAGUCCCAUGGAGUACGACUGCUUUCCUUUUGGAGAAGCUAGUGAGCUUCACCUCCCUCUCCCGAUGCUCCACCAAGGGGAUGGCCCUGUUUCAUGGCAAGAGGAAAAUCUGGCUCUGACAGAUCCAUUCUAUUCCAGACAAACUGCCUAUGCACCUAUUAGAAGUUCGUGUUACACAACCAGGUGUCUGAAAAGAUCAGAAACACCAGAUCCCUGCAUUUUCUCACCUUCUUCCUGACGCUCGCCACACAGGGUGAUCCAGUGCCACUUGGAAAGUCUUUCCGAACCGCUGACAAUCUAUUGUCAGCACUCUCAGCUGUUCUACUAUCACGCUCCACUCUCUGAAACACACCACAGCUAGCCACUGGUUUGUCGAGGAGUAUUUGGAUUGUCUCUAGUCUGGACUGUUACAAAUAGCUCUGUUCUGAAUAUUCUAAUGUGUGCAUCCAGCCACGUGAACAUGUUUCUCUACUACAUAAUGACAAAGCAUCUUCCCAAGUGAUGGGAUCCAAUGGAUAAGGCAUUCAUUGAGAGAGAAUGGUUCCUACAGCUCAGCAUCAUGACCAAGCACCAGCUUUCGUGUUUUGGGAUCUACAGUAUGUGUUUAGUAGUAUCAUUAUUUGCAUUUCCGUGGAGAUUACAACUUAAAUGUAUUUGCAUGUGCCUCUUAUUCUGCACAUAGCCUGAACCCUGUGUCUUAACUAGUUUGGCAAUUUUGUCUACUAACUAAAAAUAUUACCCCAUACUUAUUUGUUACCAUAGUUGACAUAUUUCGAUUGGCUUCCACUUUCUUAUUUUGUACUUACUAAAUUUUUUGUGUUUUCUAUGUUUCUUUUAACAUAUGUAUUUUAUCUAACAAACAUAUGUAUUUAAUCAA